AAACGCUGGCGGCGUGCUUAACACAUGCAAGUCGUGCGAGAAAGCUCCCUUCGGGGGGCGAGUAAAGCGGCGGACGGGUGAGUAACACGUGGGUAACCUGCCUGGGAGCGGGGGACAACUUGGGGAAACCCGAGCUAAUACCGCAUACGCUCCUGGGGCUUUGGCUCCAAGAGGAAAGCUGGCCUCUGCUUGCAAGCUAGCGCUCCCAGAGGGACCCGCGCCCGAUUANCUUGUUGGUGGGGUAACGGCCUACCAAGGCGACGAUCGGUAGCCGGCCUGAGAGGGCGAUCGGCCACACUGGGACUGAGACACGGCCCAGACUCCUACGGGAGGCAGCAGUGGGGAAUAUUGGACAAUGGGCGCAAGCCUGAUCCAGCAACGCCGCGUGGAGGACGAAGGCCUUCGGGUCGUAAACUCCUGUCAGUUGGGACGAAAAGUGGUC
RNAcentral lists this ribosomal RNA (442 nucleotides) under uncultured bacterium. Its description in RNAcentral is "bacterial SSU rRNA". It matches the Rfam family "Bacterial small subunit ribosomal RNA", at positions 32 to 457 of the family's 1533-position model. The record is from RNAcentral.